GUGCCAGCCGCCGCGGUAAUACCGGCAGCUCGAGUGAUGGCCGCUCUUAUUGGGCCUAAAGCGUCCGUAGCUGGCCGCGCAAGUCCGUCGGGAAAUCCAUCCGCCCAACGAGUGGGCGUCCGACGGAAACUGCACAGCUUGGGACCGGAAGGCUCGAAGGGUACGUUCGGGGUAGGAGUGAAAUCCCAUAAUCCCGCACGGACCACCGAUGGCGAAAGCACCUCGAGAAAACGGAUCCGACAGUGAGGGACGAAAGCUAGGGUCUCGAACCGGAUUAGAAACCCGUGUAGUCC
RNAcentral lists this ribosomal RNA (293 nucleotides) under uncultured bacterium. RNAcentral describes it as "partial 16S ribosomal RNA". It matches the Rfam family "Archaeal small subunit ribosomal RNA", at positions 455 to 747 of the family's 1478-position model. The record is from RNAcentral.